Molecule: ribosomal RNA, 407 nt
Filed under: uncultured bacterium
Lineage: Bacteria
Description: partial 16S ribosomal RNA
Rfam family: Bacterial small subunit ribosomal RNA
Source: RNAcentral
GACGAACGCUGGCGGCGUGCCUAAUACAUGCAAGUAGAACGCAGUUGCGAACGGGUGAGUAACGUGUAGGUAGCUGCCCCAUAGUGGGGGCUAAACAUUGGAUAGGAUAGGUAAUACCGCACACAGUGAGAUGGACCUGCGUUGUAUUAGCUAGUUGGUGAGGUAAAGGCGCACCAAGGCGACGAUACAUAGCCGACCUGAGAGGGUGAACGGGCAGACCGGGACCUAGACGAGGGCCAGACGCCUACGGGAGGCAGCAGUAGGGGAAGUUCGGCAAUGGGCGGAAGUCUGACCGAGCAACGGCGCCUAAGUGGAGAAGGUGGUCAGAUCGUUAAGCUCGGUUGUUAGAUGAGCGGUAACUAGCCAAAAAGGGACGGCUAACUACGUGCCAGCAGCCGCGGUAAUUC